UGCAGUCGCACGAGAAAGUGGAGCAAUCCAUGAGUACAGUGGCGUACGGGUGAGUAACACGUGGAUCAUCUACCUCUUGGUGGGGAAUAACCCUGGGAAACCGGGGCUAAUACCGCAUAAGCCUGCAAAGGGAAAGCAGCAAUGCGCCGAGAGAGGAGUCCGCGGCCGAUUAGCUUGUUGGUAGGGUAAUGGCCUACCAAGGCAAUGAUCGGUAGCCGGCCUGAGAGGGCACACGGCCACACUGGCACUGAAACACGGGCCAGACUCCUACGGGAGGCAGCAGUGGGGAAUCUUGCACAAUGGGGGAAACCCUGAUGCAGCGACGCCGCGUGAGCGAUGAAGCCCUUCGGGGUGUAAAGCUCUUUCGGCAGGAACGAUAAUGACGGUACCUGCAGAAGAAGCUGCGGCUAACUACGUGCCAGCAGCCGCGGUAAUACGUAGGCAGCAAGCGUUGUUCGGAAUUACUGGGCGUAAAGAGUGUGUAGGCGGUUCUCUAAGUUCCGUGUGAAAUCUCCCGGCUUAACUGGGAGGGUGCGCGGAAAACUGGAGGGCUGGAGUAUGGGAGAGGAAAGCGGAAUUCCUGGUGUAGCGGUGAAAUGCGUAGAUAUCAGGAGGAACACCUGCGGUGUAGACAGCUUUCUGGACCAUCACUGACGCUGAGACACGAAAGCGUGGGUAGCAAACAGGAUUAGAUACCCUGUAGUCCACGCCCUAAACGAUGCAUACUUGGUGUGAGCCGUUCAUUCGUUCGUGCCGGAUACGCGUUAAGUAUGCCGCCUGGAUACGGUCGCAGGCUGAAACUCAAGAUACGGGGGCCCGCAC
Molecule: ribosomal RNA, 822 nt
Filed under: uncultured organism
Description: bacterial SSU rRNA
Rfam family: Bacterial small subunit ribosomal RNA
Source: RNAcentral